GACGAACGCUGGCGGCGUGCCUAAUACAUGCAAGUCGAACGCUGAAGGAGGAGCUUGCUCUUCUGGAUGAGUUGCGAACGGGUGAGUAACGCGUAGGUAACCUGCCUGGUAGCGGGGGAUAACUAUUGGAAACGAUAGCUAAUACCGCAUAACAGUAGAUGUUGCAUGACAUUUACUUAAAAGGUGCAAUUGCAUCACUACCAGAUGGACCUGCGUUGUAUUAGCUAGUUGGUGGGGUAACGGCUCACCAAGGCGACGAUACAUAGCCGACCUGAGAGGGGGGACGGCCACACUGGGACUGAGACACGGCCCAGGCUCCUACGGGAGGCAGCAGUAGGGAAUCUUCGGCAAUGGACGGAAGUCUGACCGGGCAACGCCGCGUGAGUGAAGAAGGUUUUCGGAUCGUAAAGCUCUGUUGUAAGAGAAGAACGAGUGUGAGAGUGGAAAGUUCACACUGUGACGGUAUCUUACCAGAAAGAGACGGCUAACUACGUG
This 495-nucleotide ribosomal RNA is filed under the name uncultured bacterium. RNAcentral's name for it is "partial 16S ribosomal RNA". It matches the Rfam family "Bacterial small subunit ribosomal RNA", at positions 28 to 507 of the family's 1533-position model. The record is from RNAcentral.